CCUACGGGAGGCAGCAGCAGGGAAUAUUGCACAAUGGGCGCAAGCCUGAUGCAGCGACGCCGCGUGGGGGAUGAAUGCCUUCGGGUUGUAAACCCCUUUCAGGAGGGACGAAGCGAAAGUGACGGUACCUCCAGAAGAAGCCCCGGCCAACUACGUGCCAGCAGCCGCGGUAAUACGUAGGGGGCGAGCGUUGUCCGGAUUUAUUGGGCGUAAAGAGCUCGUAGGCGGCUCAACAAGUCGGCCGUGAAAGCCUGAGGCUCAACCUCAGGACGCCGGUCGAAACUGUUGUGGCUAGGGUUCGGUAGAGGAGAGUGGAAUUCCCGGUGUAGCGGUGAAAUGCGCAGAUAUCGGGAGGAACACCAGUAGCGAAGGCGGCUCUCUGGGCCGACACCGACGCUGAGGAGCGAAAGCUAGGGGAGCAAACAGGAUUAGAUACCCUGGUAGUCCUAGCCGUAAACGUUGGGUACUAGGUGUGGCGGAUUCAUUGACAUCUGCCGUGCCGAAGCUAACGCAUUAAGUACCCCGCCUGGGGAGUACGGUCGCAAGGCUAAAACUCAAAGGAAUUGACGG
RNAcentral lists this ribosomal RNA (570 nucleotides) under uncultured bacterium. RNAcentral's name for it is "bacterial SSU rRNA". It matches the Rfam family "Bacterial small subunit ribosomal RNA", at positions 338 to 916 of the family's 1533-position model. The record is from RNAcentral.